GAUGAACGCUGGCGGCGUGCCUAAUACAUGCCAGUCGAACGGGGAGUAGCAAUACUCUUAGUGGCGAACGGGUGAGUAACGCGUUGGUACCUGCCCCGAAGCGGGGGAUAACGGACCGAAAGGUCCGCUAAUACCCCAUGUGCUCGGUAACGAGUAAAGGUGAAAACCACUUUGGGAGGGGCAUGCGUCCCAUCAGCUAGUUGGUAAGGUAACGGCUUACCAAGGCGAUGACGGGUAGGGGACCUGAGAGGGUGGCCCCCCACAAUGGAACUGAAACACGGUCCAUACACCUACGGGUGGCAGCAGUAGGGAAUAUUGGUAAGGGGCGCAAGCCUGAACCAGCAACGCCGCGUGUGCGAUGACGGCCUUCGGGUUGUAAAGCACUUUUGACUGGGACGAGGAAGGACGGUACCGGUCGAAUCAGCCUCGGCUAACUACGUG
This 441-nucleotide ribosomal RNA is filed under the name uncultured bacterium. Its description in RNAcentral is "partial 16S ribosomal RNA". It matches the Rfam family "Bacterial small subunit ribosomal RNA", at positions 28 to 507 of the family's 1533-position model. The record is from RNAcentral.